This is a long non-coding RNA of Alligator sinensis (Chinese alligator), 302 nucleotides long. RefSeq lists it as uncharacterized. NCBI's taxonomy places the organism in Eukaryota, Metazoa, Chordata, Crocodylia, Alligatoridae. The record is from RefSeq and is a predicted model, not a curated record. The transcript is spliced from 3 exons.
CAGAGCAAUGGUGGAAUUAUCUUGGUAUCCUAUCACCAACAAUUUUAUGGCAUAAAGGAAGAUUAAAGACACAUGGUGGAUACCGAGGGCUUCUUGCUAUUUGGCUGGGUCAGCAGCAGGUCUGAAGCUCUCAUUUGUUAUCUCCCAGGGGGAAAGGAUAGAAAGAGGGAAGGAUGUUCCAACAAUUAACAGAACAAAGGAGGAAAACAAAACAAAAAGGAAUGCAUCAUCCUGGCAGAUGUAACACUACAGACAAGAAAAUAUGAAACAGGAAAGAAUAUGAACCGUGCAGAGAAAAAUAA